This 465-nucleotide ribosomal RNA is filed under the name uncultured bacterium. RNAcentral's name for it is "partial 16S ribosomal RNA". It matches the Rfam family "Bacterial small subunit ribosomal RNA", at positions 28 to 507 of the family's 1533-position model. The record is from RNAcentral.
GACGAACGCUGGCGGCGUGCUUAACACAUGCAAGUCGAACGGAAAGGCCCUGCUUGCAGGGUACUCGAGUGGCGAACGGGUGAGUAACACGUGGGUGAUCUGCCCUGCACUUCGGGAUAAGCCUGGGAAACUGGGUCUAAUACCGGAUAGGCGCCAUUUUUAGUGUGAUGGUUGGAAAGUUUUUUCGGUGUAGGAUGAGCUCGCGGCCUAUCAGCUUGUUGGUGGGGUAAUGGCCUACCAAGGCGGCGACGGGUAGCCGGCCUGAGAGGGUGGACGGCCACAUUGGGACUGCGAUACGGCCCAGACUCCUACGGGAGGCAGCAGUGGGGAAUAUUGCACAUUGGGCGCAAGCCUGAUGCAGCGAAGCCGCGUGGGGGAUGACGGCCUUCGGGUUGUAAACGCCUUUCGCUAGGGACGAAGCUUUUUGUGACGGUACCUAGAGAAGAAGCACCGGCUAACUACGUG